This 1992-nucleotide ribosomal RNA is filed under the name Myxidium coryphaenoideum. Its description in RNAcentral is "SSU rRNA". It matches the Rfam family "Eukaryotic small subunit ribosomal RNA". The record is from RNAcentral. Lineage: Eukaryota; Metazoa; Cnidaria; Myxozoa; Bivalvulida; Myxidiidae.
ACCUGGUUGAUCCUGCCAGUAGGCAUAUGCUCGUCUCAAAGAUUAAGCCAUGCAUGUUUUAGUUCAUACAUAUUCAAAGUGAGACUGCGAAAGGCUCAGUAUAUCAGUUAUUGUUUAUUCGAUUGUGAAAUCCACGUGGAUAACCGUGGAAAAGCUAGAGCUAAUACAUGCGAGAAAUGACUGUGGUCUUGUGAUCAUGGUUAUGCAUUUAUUAGAUUAGAACCGGUCAAUGUUGUUGUCGUAAGGCAAUAGUAUUGUUGUGGUGAAUCUGAAUAACUGUGCCGAUCGUAUGGCCUUGUGCCGACGACGUUUCGAUUAAAUUUCUGCCCUAUCAACUUGUUGGUAAGGUAUUGGCUUACCAAGGUUAUUACGGGUAACGGGGAAUCAGGGUUCGAUUCCGGAGAGGGAGCCUGAGAAACGGCUACCACAUCCAAGGAAGGCAGCAGGCGCGCAAAUUACCCAAUCCAGACACUGGGAGGUGGUGACGAGAAAUACCAGGUCGGUCCCAAAAGGAUUCGACACUGGAAUGAGUGAAUUUAAAAAUUUCAACGAGUAGCAACUGGAGGGCCAGUCUGGUGCCAGCAGCCGCGGUAAUUCCAGCUCCAGUAGUGUAUCUAAAGUUGCUGCGGUUAAAACGCUCGUAGUUGGACAAGAGAGUGACUUGAUGCGGGCGGGUAACGCAACUACUUUGUGUAGGUUUCAAUCAGUGUAGCAUCUUCGGGUGUUACGCUGGCUGUUGCUUCAUGACUGUAUCGUUAUUCGACCAUGCUGUCAAGUUCCUCGUAUUUUUCGUGAGAAUAACUUAUUGCCUUUACUGUGUAGUGUGUUGUAACUCACGUAGUGUGCCUUGAAUAAAUCAGAGUGCUUAAAGCAAGCUAUAGCUUGAAUGUUAAUAGCAUGGAACGAAUGUUUUGUGAAAGUAUGCAAUUUUCUACUUGUAGAGGGUUGUAUACAGCACCAACCGCGAAGCAGAACAUUGGUUGCUGUCUUCGGGUGACGAUUAAGAGGGGCAAUUGGGGGCAUUAGUAUUUGGCCGCGAGAGGUGAAAUUCUUGGACCGGCCAAGGACUAACAAGUGCGAAGGCAUUUGCCAAGUUUGUUCCCUUUAAUCAAGAACGAAAGUGAGAGGUUCGAAGACGAUCAGAUACCGUCCUAGUUCUCACCGUAAACAAUGCCAACCCGGGAUCAGUUCGGAUGAACUAUUUUGGAUCCAGGUUGGUCCCCCUGGGAAACCUUGAGUUUUUAGGUUCCGGGGGGAGUAUGGUUGCAAGGCUGAAACUUAAAGGAAUUGACGGAAGGGCACCACCAGGAGUGGAGCCUGCGGCUUAAUUUGACUCAACACGGGAAAACUCACCUGGUCCGGACAUCGAUAGGAUUGACAGACUAAUAGAUCUUUCAUGAUACGGUGGGUGGUGGUGCAUGGCCGUUCUUAGUUCGUGGAGUGAUUCGUCAGGUUUAUUCCGGUAACGAACGAGACCAUGAUCUCCAUUUGGGAAACUAUACUGCUAUUUGCGAUAUAUAAACUUAUGUUUGUGUGUUGUAACUAUGUAUUAUGGUUUGCGCGCAGCAAUGUACGUGUCCCAUGGAGAGACAACCGGAUAUGAAGCCGGAGGAAGCGUGGCAAUAACAGGUCUGUGAUGCCCUUCGAUGUUCAGGGCUGCACGCGCGCUAUAAUGAUAACGACAACAAGAUUCUGGACUGAAAAGUUCUGGGAAAUCUUUCAAUCGUUAUCGUGAUGGGGAUUGAGCAUUGUAAUUUUUGCUCAUGAAAUAGGAAUUCCUUGUAAUUGCGACUCACUCAGGUCGCAAUGAAUAAGUCUCUGCCCUUUGUACACACCGCCCGUCGCUACUACCGAGUGAAUGGUGUCAUGAUGUCUUGGGACUGGAUAUUGUUAGCAGUGCAUUCUGCGGACGAUGAUAGGAGCAAGACAAAAUGGCCCUAUGUCGAGGAAGUAAAAGUCGUAACAAGGUUUCCGUAGGUGAACCAGCGGAAG